UCCGGUUGAUCCUGCCAGACCUGAUUGCUAUCGGAUUGGUACUAAGCCAUGCGAGUAAGUGUAGCAAUACACUGCAGACGGCUCAGUAACACGUGGUCAAGCUAACCUAUGGACGUGGAUAACCUCGGGAAACUGAGAAUAAACCGCGAUAGAUCAUGGUGCCUGGAAUGGCCCAUGGUCGAAAUAGUUUACUGCCGUAGGAUGCGACUGCGGCCUAUCAGUUUGUUGGUGAGGUAAUGGCCCACCAAGACUAUUACAGGUACGGGCUCUGAGAGGAGAAGCCCGGAGAUGGGUACUGAGACACGGACCCAGGCCCUAUGGGGCGCAGCAGGCGAGAAACCUUAGCAAUGUGCGAAAGCACGACUGGGUUAGUCCGAGUGAUUCCUGCUAAAGGAAUCUUUUGCCGGUCCUAAAAGCACCGGUGAAUAAGGGGUGGGCAAGUCUGGUGUCAGCCGCCGCGGUAAUACCAGCACCUCGAGUGAUCAGGACGUUUAUUGGGCCUAAAGCAUCCGUAGCUGGCUUUGCAAGUCUCCGGUUAAAUCAACCUGCUCAACAGAUUGGCCGCUGGAGAUACUACAAAGCUAGGGAGUGGGAGAGGCAGACGGUAUUCGGGGGGUAGGGGUAAAAUCCUCUGAUCCUCCGAGGACCACCAGUGGCGAAGGCGGUCUGCCAGAACACGUUCGACAGUGAGGGAUGAAAGCUGGGGGAGCAAACCGGAUUAGAUACCCGGGUAGUCCCAGCUGUAAACGAUGCACACUCGGUGAAGCGUUGGUUUAUGGCCAACGCUGUGCCGCACGGAAGCCGUUAAGUCUGCCGCCUGGGAAGUACGGUCGCAAGAUUGAAACUUAAAGGAUUUGGCGGGGGAGCACCACAAGGGUGAAGCCUGCGGUUCAAUUGGAUUCAACGCCGG
Molecule: ribosomal RNA, 910 nt
Filed under: uncultured archaeon
Lineage: Archaea
Description: bacterial SSU rRNA
Rfam family: Archaeal small subunit ribosomal RNA
Source: RNAcentral